RNAcentral lists this ribosomal RNA (1501 nucleotides) under uncultured bacterium. Its description in RNAcentral is "partial 16S ribosomal RNA". It matches the Rfam family "Bacterial small subunit ribosomal RNA". The record is from RNAcentral.
AGAGUUUGAUCCUGGCUCAGGAUGAACGCUGGCGGCGUGCUUAACACAUGCAAGUCGAACGAUGAUGCCCACUUGUGGGUGGAUUAGUGGCGAACGGGUGAGUAACACGUGAGUAACCUGCCCUUAACUCUGGGAUAAGCCUGGGAAACUGGGUCUAAUACCGGAUAUGACUCCUCAUCGCAUGGUGGGGGGUGGAAAGCUUUAUUGUGGUUUUGGAUGGACUCGCGGCCUAUCAGCUUGUUGGUGAGGUAAUGGCUCACCAAGGCGACGACGGGUAGCCGGCCUGAGAGGGUGACCGGCCACACUGGGACUGAGAUACGGGCCCGACUCCUACGGGAGGCAGCAGUAGGGAAUAUUGGGCAAUGGAUGCAAGUCUGACCCAGCCAUGCCGCGUGCCGGAUGAAGGCCCUCAGGGUUGUAAACGGCUUUUAUUCGGGAAGAAGAGCGAGGAUGCGUCCUUGUGUGACGGUACCGGAUGAAUAAGCACCGGCUAACUCCGUGCCAGCAGCCGCGGUAAUACGGAGGGUGCGAGCGUUGUCCGGAUUUAUUGGGUUUAAAGGGUGCGUAGGUGGCUGCUUAAGUCAGUGGUGAAAUACAGCCGCUCAACGGUUGAGGUGCCAUUGAUACUGAAUAGCUUGAAAUAAUUGGAGGCUGCCGGAAUGGAUGGUGUAGCGGUGAAAUGCAUAGAUAUCAUCCAGAACACCGAUUGCGAAGCAGGUGGCUACGAUUUAUUUGACACUGAGGCACGAAAGCAUGGGGAGCAAACAGGAUUAGAUACCCUGGUAGUCCAUGCCGUAAACGUUGGGCACUAGUGUGGGGGACAUUCCACGUUUUCCGCGCCGUAGCUAACGCAUUAAGUGCCCCGCCUGGGGAGUACGGCCGCAAGGCUAAAACUCAAAGGAAUUGACGGGGGCCCGCACAAGCGGCGGAGCAUGCGGAUUAAUUCGAUGCAACGCGAAGAACCUUACCAAGGCUUGACAUGAACCGGAAAUACCUGGAAACAGGUGCCCCGCUUGCGGUCGGUUUACAGGUGGUGCAUGGUUGUCGUCAGCUCGUGUCGUGAGAUGUUGGGUUAAGUCCCGCAACGAGCGCAACCCUCGUUCUAUGUUGCCAGCGCGUUAUGGCGGGGACUCAUAGGAGACUGCCGGGGUCAACUCGGAGGAAGGUGGGGACGACGUCAAAUCAUCAUGCCCCUUAUGUCUUGGGCUUCACGCAUGCUACAAUGGCCGGUACAAAGGGUUGCGAUACUGUGAGGUGGAGCUAAUCCCAAAAAGCCGGUCUCAGUUCGGAUUGGGGUCUGCAACUCGACCCCAUGAAGUCGGAGUCGCUAGUAAUCGCAGAUCAGCAACGCUGCGGUGAAUACGUUCCCGGGCCUUGUACACACCGCCCGUCAAGUCACGAAAGUUGGUAACACCCGAAGCCGGUGGCCUAACCCCUUGUGGGAGGGAGCUGUCGAAGGUGGGACUGGCGAUUGGGACUAAGUCGUAACAAGGUAACCGUA